GGACUACCCGGGUAUCUAAUCCUGUUUGCUCCCCACGCUUUCGUGCCUGAGCGUCAGUGUUGACCCAGGGGGCUGCCUUCGCCAUCGGUGUUCCUCCACAUCUCUACGCAUUUCACUGCUACACGUGGAAUUCCACCCCCCUCUGCCACACUCUAGCAGCCUAGUUUCAAGCGCAAUUCCCAGGUUAAGCCCGGGGAUUUCACACCUGACUUGAGCCGCCGCCUGCGCACGCUUUACGCCCAGUAAUUCCGAUUAACGCUCGCACCCUACGUAUUACCGCGGCUGCUGGCAC
Molecule: ribosomal RNA, 292 nt
Filed under: uncultured bacterium
Lineage: Bacteria
Description: partial 16S ribosomal RNA
Source: RNAcentral